UUUAAAUUGAGAGUUUGAUCCUGGCUCAGGAUGAACGCUGGCGGCGUGCCUAAUACAUGCAAGUCGUACGCUAGCCGCUGAAUUGAUCCUUCGGGUGAAGUGAGGCAAUGACUAGAGUGGCGAACUGGUGAGUAACACGUAAGAAACCUGCCCUUUAGUGGGGGAUAACAUUUGGAAACAGAUGCUAAUACCGCGUAACAACAAAUCACACAUGUGAUCUGUUUGAAAGGUCCUUUUGGAUCGCUAGAGGAUGGUCUUGCGGCGUAUUAGCUUGUUGGUAGGGUAGAAGCCUACCAAAGCAAUGA
Molecule: ribosomal RNA, 305 nt
Filed under: Oenococcus oeni
Lineage: Bacteria; Bacillati; Bacillota; Bacilli; Lactobacillales; Lactobacillaceae
Description: partial 16S ribosomal RNA
Rfam family: Bacterial small subunit ribosomal RNA
Source: RNAcentral